CCUACGGGGGGCAGCAGUGGGGAAUAUUGCGCAAUGGGCGAAAGCCUGACGCAGCGACGCCGCGUGAGGGAUGAAGGUCCUCGGAUCGUAAACCUCUGUCUGCAGGGAAGAACGGUCACUGUCCUAUUCAUCAGUGAAUUGACGGUACCUGCAAAGGAAGCACCGGCUAACUCCGUCCCAGCAGCCGCGGUAAUACGGAGGGUGCGAGCGUUAAUCGGAAUUACUGGGCGUAAAGGGCGCGGAGUCGGUAUGUCAAGUCAAGGGUGAAAUCCCCGGGCUCAACGUGGGAACUGCAGUUGAAACUGGCAGACUGGAGUGUGUGAGAGGAUAGUGGAAUUCCAGGUGUAGGAGUGAAAUCCGUAGAUAUCUGGAAGAACAUCAAUGGCGAAGGCAACUAUCUGGCACAUAACUGACGCUGAGGAGCGAAAGCGUGGGUAGCAAACAGGAUUAGAUACCCUUGUAGUC
RNAcentral lists this ribosomal RNA (465 nucleotides) under uncultured bacterium. RNAcentral describes it as "partial 16S ribosomal RNA". It matches the Rfam family "Bacterial small subunit ribosomal RNA", at positions 338 to 795 of the family's 1533-position model. The record is from RNAcentral.